RNAcentral lists this ribosomal RNA (2933 nucleotides) under Escherichia coli. RNAcentral describes it as "23S ribosomal RNA". It matches the Rfam family "Bacterial large subunit ribosomal RNA". The record is from RNAcentral. Lineage: Bacteria; Pseudomonadati; Pseudomonadota; Gammaproteobacteria; Enterobacterales; Enterobacteriaceae.
GGGUUGUGAGGUUAAGCGACUAAGCGUACACGGUGGAUGCCCUGGCAGUCAGAGGCGAUGAAGGACGUGCUAAUCUGCGAUAAGCGUCGGUAAGGUGAUAUGAACCGUUAUAACCGGCGAUUUCCGAAUGGGGAAACCCAGUGUGUUUCGACACACUAUCAUUAACUGAAUCCAUAGGUUAAUGAGGCGAACCGGGGGAACUGAAACAUCUAAGUACCCCGAGGAAAAGAAAUCAACCGAGAUUCCCCCAGUAGCGGCGAGCGAACGGGGAGCAGCCCAGAGCCUGAAUCAGUAUGUGUGUUAGUGGAAGCGUCUGGAAAGGCGCGCGAUACAGGGUGACAGCCCCGUACACAAAAAUGCACAUAUUGUGAGCUCGAUGAGUAGGGCGGGACACGUGGUAUCCUGUCUGAAUAUGGGGGGACCAUCCUCCAAGGCUAAAUACUCCUGACUGACCGAUAGUGAACCAGUACCGUGAGGGAAAGGCGAAAAGAACCCCGGCGAGGGGAGUGAAAAAGAACCUGAAACCGUGUACGUACAAGCAGUGGGAGCACGCUUAGGCGUGUGACUGCGUACCUUUUGUAUAAUGGGUCAGCGACUUAUAUUCUGUAGCAAGGUUAACCGAAUAGGGGAGCCGAAGGGAAACCGAGUCUUAACUGGGCGUUAAGUUGCAGGGUAUAGACCCGAAACCCGGUGAUCUAGCCAUGGGCAGGUUGAAGGUUGGGUAACACUAACUGGAGGACCGAACCGACUAAUGUUGAAAAAUUAGCGGAUGACUUGUGGCUGGGGGUGAAAGGCCAAUCAAACCGGGAGAUAGCUGGUUCUCCCCGAAAGCUAUUUAGGUAGCGCCUCGUGAAUUCAUCUCCGGGGGUAGAGCACUGUUUCGGCAAGGGGGUCAUCCCGACUUACCAACCCGAUGCAAACUGCGAAUACCGGAGAAUGUUAUCACGGGAGACACACGGCGGGUGCUAACGUCCGUCGUGAAGAGGGAAACAACCCAGACCGCCAGCUAAGGUCCCAAAGUCAUGGUUAAGUGGGAAACGAUGUGGGAAGGCCCAGACAGCCAGGAUGUUGGCUUAGAAGCAGCCAUCAUUUAAAGAAAGCGUAAUAGCUCACUGGUCGAGUCGGCCUGCGCGGAAGAUGUAACGGGGCUAAACCAUGCACCGAAGCUGCGGCAGCGACGCUUAUGCGUUGUUGGGUAGGGGAGCGUUCUGUAAGCCUGUGAAGGUGUGCUGUGAGGCAUGCUGGAGGUAUCAGAAGUGCGAAUGCUGACAUAAGUAACGAUAAAGCGGGUGAAAAGCCCGCUCGCCGGAAGACCAAGGGUUCCUGUCCAACGUUAAUCGGGGCAGGGUGAGUCGACCCCUAAGGCGAGGCCGAAAGGCGUAGUCGAUGGGAAACAGGUUAAUAUUCCUGUACUUGGUGUUACUGCGAAGGGGGGACGGAGAAGGCUAUGUUGGCCGGGCGACGGUUGUCCCGGUUUAAGCGUGUAGGCUGGUUUUCCAGGCAAAUCCGGAAAAUCAAGGCUGAGGCGUGAUGACGAGGCACUACGGUGCUGAAGCAACAAAUGCCCUGCUUCCAGGAAAAGCCUCUAAGCAUCAGGUAACAUCAAAUCGUACCCCAAACCGACACAGGUGGUCAGGUAGAGAAUACCAAGGCGCUUGAGAGAACUCGGGUGAAGGAACUAGGCAAAAUGGUGCCGUAACUUCGGGAGAAGGCACGCUGAUAUGUAGGUGAAGUCCCUCGCGGAUGGAGCUGAAAUCAGUCGAAGAUACCAGCUGGCUGCAACUGUUUAUUAAAAACACAGCACUGUGCAAACACGAAAGUGGACGUAUACGGUGUGACGCCUGCCCGGUGCCGGAAGGUUAAUUGAUGGGGUUAGCCGCAAGGCGAAGCUCUUGAUCGAAGCCCCGGUAAACGGCGGCCGUAACUAUAACGGUCCUAAGGUAGCGAAAUUCCUUGUCGGGUAAGUUCCGACCUGCACGAAUGGCGUAAUGAUGGCCAGGCUGUCUCCACCCGAGACUCAGUGAAAUUGAACUCGCUGUGAAGAUGCAGUGUACCCGCGGCAAGACGGAAAGACCCCGUGAACCUUUACUAUAGCUUGACACUGAACAUUGAGCCUUGAUGUGUAGGAUAGGUGGGAGGCUUUGAAGUGUGGACGCCAGUCUGCAUGGAGCCGACCUUGAAAUACCACCCUUUAAUGUUUGAUGUUCUAACGUUGACCCGUAAUCCGGGUUGCGGACAGUGUCUGGUGGGUAGUUUGACUGGGGCGGUCUCCUCCUAAAGAGUAACGGAGGAGCACGAAGGUUGGCUAAUCCUGGUCGGACAUCAGGAGGUUAGUGCAAUGGCAUAAGCCAGCUUGACUGCGAGCGUGACGGCGCGAGCAGGUGCGAAAGCAGGUCAUAGUGAUCCGGUGGUUCUGAAUGGAAGGGCCAUCGCUCAACGGAUAAAAGGUACUCCGGGGAUAACAGGCUGAUACCGCCCAAGAGUUCAUAUCGACGGCGGUGUUUGGCACCUCGAUGUCGGCUCAUCACAUCCUGGGGCUGAAGUAGGUCCCAAGGGUAUGGCUGUUCGCCAUUUAAAGUGGUACGCGAGCUGGGUUUAGAACGUCGUGAGACAGUUCGGUCCCUAUCUGCCGUGGGCGCUGGAGAACUGAGGGGGGCUGCUCCUAGUACGAGAGGACCGGAGUGGACGCAUCACUGGUGUUCGGGUUGUCAUGCCAAUGGCACUGCCCGGUAGCUAAAUGCGGAAGAGAUAAGUGCUGAAAGCAUCUAAGCACGAAACUUGCCCCGAGAUGAGUUCUCCCUGACUCCUUGAGAGUCCUGAAGGAACGUUGAAGACGACGACGUUGAUAGGCCGGGUGUGUAAGCGCAGCGAUGCGUUGAGCUAACCGGUACUAAUGAACCGUGAGGCUUAACCUUACAACGCCGAAGGUGUUU